CCUACGGGAGGCAGCAGUGGGGAAUUUUGUGCAAUGGGCGAAAGCCUGACACAGCGACACCGCGUGAACGAAGAAGCUCUUUGGAGUGUAAAGUUCUGUCGGCUGGAAGACGGUACCAGCAAAGGAAGCAUCGGCUAACUACGUGCCAGCAGCCGCGGUAAGACGUAGGAUGCAAGCGUUGUCCGGAUUUAUUGGGCGUAAAGAGUUCGUAGGCGGUUUACUAAGUCUGAUGUUAAAGAUCGGGGCUCAACCCUGGGACUGCAUUGGAUACUGGUAGGCUUGAGUGUGGUAGAGGCAAGUGGAAUUCCCAGUGUAGCGGUGAAAUGCGUAGAUAUUGGGAAGAACACCAGUGGCGUAGGCGACUUGCUGGCCUAACUGACGCUGAGGAACGAAAGCCAGGGGAGCGAAUGGGAUUAGAUACCCUAGUAGUC
This 431-nucleotide ribosomal RNA is filed under the name uncultured bacterium. RNAcentral's name for it is "partial 16S ribosomal RNA". It matches the Rfam family "Bacterial small subunit ribosomal RNA", at positions 338 to 795 of the family's 1533-position model. The record is from RNAcentral.